AUUUGACUGGCACAGGAAGGGAAAUGCACGCAGAAGGAACUCGGAAGACUGCAAUAAUGAACGGACACAGAUCCCCUGGUGGGUGGCUACUCCAACCAGCCAGAACCUGAUUGGCAACUGUCACCCAGAAUAUCUUUUCACCGGCCGCCCCACAACUGUGAAAUGACCUGCCAGAAAAGCUCCAACAUCUAAACAGCUGUUGGAAUUUAAAAUGCAGUUGAAGACCAUUCUCUUCCAAUUAUAUCAACAGUCAGAGAUGUUGAAAACCCAGAAAGACAUCGGAACUACUGAAAGAGCUAAGAACAGUCAUUAGGCAUGGGAAAUUAAUCACUCACUAUCCCCAAUAGCAAUGCAACAUUACUAUACAUGCAUCUAUUUGUGAAUUAUCAAUCUUCAAUAGCUCUUUGCUUCCCUUAUAUAGCUUUUCACAUUUUUUUUUUGUUGAGAAUUCAAGUUUGGAUGGAAGUGGUAGUGGCUUUUUAAAAUGUUCUUAGAAAUGAAAGAUUUUGUGUACCUCUUUGCACUUCAUGACCCUUAUCCUUCCACAGGAACUGCUUGUUAAAAAAGGAAGAGAAGCUAACUUCUUUGAAACUUCAGUCACUAACAUACUGGGGUUGAACACUAAGCCAGUGUUUUCUAACCUAAAGUUGUUCUUCUCCAAAAAUUGCCAAGGACAACAGCAAGAAAUAGAACAAAAAGAAACAUAGAGAAAUCAGAACAGGCAGGCAAUAUUUCAAAUGAAAGUAAGUUAAGAAACAAGCAGAUCUCAACAUUUGUCAUUCUGUGAUGCUGCAUCCUCUGUUUGGAUAUCAGCCAGCAUGCCAAUGCCUUAAAUCAAGAAAUAGCUUCCCAAAAUCUACAGAGAUACUUUCAGGAAAUCCUCAGCAAGCAAUAGUCCAAAAGCGGCAGGUUAAAACACAGCACCUCAAUCAGUGGCUGAGACUGGAUGAGAAUUUCCCUCCUGGGCACACAGAAGUAUGGACAACCUGGAAGGUGCUGAACAGGCUGCACUCUGUCACCACAAGAAGCAGAGCUAACUUUAAGAAUGGGGCUACAAAGUGGAGUCUACGACAGGCAAGUGCAGAGAAGAGCAAACCACAGAGCACUUACUACAAUGCAACCUUAGCCCUGCCACAUGCACAAUGAAGGACCUUCUCACAGCAACACCAUAGGCACUCGAAGUGGCCAGCUUCUGGUCAAAGGACAUUUAGCAUAAUGUCUAGUUCUUUUUAAAACUUUGUUUAUGUUUUUAAAUCCAUUUCAACUGUAUUCUCAAUUUGCUUCUGGCACAAUAAAUAAAUAAAU
Molecule: long non-coding RNA, 1305 nt
Organism: Anolis sagrei ordinatus
Lineage: Eukaryota; Metazoa; Chordata; Lepidosauria; Squamata; Anolidae
Source: RefSeq, a predicted model, not a curated record